GGCCGGACACCGCCGAACUGUGCGCGGCCCAGCGCCGCCAUCAGACCGGGGACCCAUGGUUCCUCUGGGGUGAAUCCUGCGCUCGAGCACGGGCGCAGGUAGGGCAACUUCCGGCCCGAACCCGUCAGCUAACUCGGUAGGCGGGCGAGGAAGAAACG
Molecule: small RNA, 158 nt
Filed under: Blastococcus sp.
Lineage: Bacteria; Bacillati; Actinomycetota; Actinomycetes; Geodermatophilales; Geodermatophilaceae
Also listed under: 1 other name
Description: c-di-AMP sequence
Rfam family: c-di-AMP riboswitch aptamer (ydaO/yuaA leader)
About the family: This family represents a conserved RNA structure found upstream of the ydaO and yuaA genes in Bacillus subtilis and related genes in other bacteria.
Source: RNAcentral